Molecule: ribosomal RNA, 558 nt
Filed under: Escherichia coli
Lineage: Bacteria; Pseudomonadati; Pseudomonadota; Gammaproteobacteria; Enterobacterales; Enterobacteriaceae
Also listed under: 1 other name
Description: partial 23S ribosomal RNA
Rfam family: Bacterial large subunit ribosomal RNA
Source: RNAcentral
GGGUUGUGAGGUUAAGCGACUAAGCGUACACGGUGGAUGCCCUGGCAGUCAGAGGCGAUGAAGGACGUGCUAAUCUGCGAUAAGCGUCGGUAAGGUGAUAUGAACCGUUAUAACCGGCGAUUUCCGAAUGGGGAAACCCAGUGUGAUUCGUCACACUAUCAUUAACUGAAUCCAUAGGUUAAUGAGGCGAACCGGGGGAACUGAAACAUCUAAGUACCCCGAGGAAAAGAAAUCAACCGAGAUUCCCCCAGUAGCGGCGAGCGAACGGGGAGCAGCCCAGAGCCUGAAUCAGUGUGUGUGUUAGUGGAAGCGUCUGGAAAGGCGUGCGAUACAGGGUGACAGCCCCGUACACAAAAAUGCACAUGCUGUGAGCUCGAUGAGUAGGGCGGGACACGUGGUAUCCUGUCUGAAUAUGGGGGGACCAUCCUCCAAGGCUAAAUACUCCUGACUGACCGAUAGUGAACCAGUACCGUGAGGGAAAGGCGAAAAGAACCCCGGCGAGGGGAGUGAAAAAGAACCUGAAACCGUGUACGUACAAGCAGUGGGAGCACGCUUAGG